AAUCUUAUAAUUUAUAAAAAAUAUUAAAUUGCAAAUUUAACAAAAGUUAAAAAACUUAAGAUUU
This 64-nucleotide transfer RNA is filed under the name Dryinus sp. ZJUH_2016011. RNAcentral describes it as "tRNA-Cys". The record is from RNAcentral. Lineage: Eukaryota; Metazoa; Arthropoda; Insecta; Hymenoptera; Dryinidae.